Transfer RNA from Trichinella murrelli, 71 nucleotides. It matches the Rfam family "tRNA". From Rfam's summary of the family: Transfer RNA (tRNA) molecules are approximately 80 nucleotides in length. Their secondary structure includes four short double-helical elements and three loops (D, anti-codon, and T loops). The record is from Rfam. NCBI's taxonomy places the organism in Eukaryota, Metazoa, Nematoda, Enoplea, Trichinellida, Trichinellidae.
GCGCCGAUGGUUCAGUGGUAGAAUGCUUACCUCCCACGUAAGCGAUCCGGGUUCGAUUCCCGGUCGGCGCA